CAGUCGCCGCGGUAAUACGUAGGUGGCAAGCGUUGUCCGGAAUGAUUGGGCAUAAAGGGCGCGCAAGCGGCUGUGUAAGUCAGUCUAGAAAGUGCGGGGCUAAACCCCGUGAGAGGAUGGAAACUGGACAGCUGAGAGUGUCGGAGAGGAAAGCGGAAUUCCUAGUGUAGCGGUGAAAUGCGUAGAUAUUAGGAGGAACACCGGUGGCGGAAGCGGCUUUCUGGACGACAACUGACGCUGAGGCGCGAAAGCCAGGGGAGCAAAUGGGAUUAGAUACCCCUGUAGUCCCUGUCUCUUAUAC
This 301-nucleotide ribosomal RNA is filed under the name uncultured bacterium. RNAcentral describes it as "partial 16S ribosomal RNA". It matches the Rfam family "Bacterial small subunit ribosomal RNA", at positions 509 to 807 of the family's 1533-position model. The record is from RNAcentral.